RNAcentral lists this ribosomal RNA (253 nucleotides) under uncultured bacterium. RNAcentral's name for it is "partial 16S ribosomal RNA". It matches the Rfam family "Bacterial small subunit ribosomal RNA", at positions 524 to 776 of the family's 1533-position model. The record is from RNAcentral.
UACGGGGGGGGCAAGCGUUGUUCGGAAUUACUGGGCGUAAAGGGCGCGUAGGCGGCCUUCUAAGUCGAACGUGAAAUCCCCGGGCUCAACCCGGGAACUGCGUCCGAUACUGGAAGGCUUGAAUCCGGGAGAGGGAUGCGGAAUUCCAGGUGUAGCGGUGAAAUGCGUAGAUAUCUGGAGGAACACCGGUGGCGAAGGCGGGUCUCUGGGCAGUAACUGACGCUGAGGAGCGAAAGCGUGGGGAGCGAACAGG